AAAAAUUAUUCUGGAGGUAUGGGGAAUUGAACCCCAGCCCUCUCCCAUACUAAGGGAGCGCUCUACCACUGAGCUAUACCCCCGCAUGUUUUAUUC
RNAcentral lists this transfer RNA (96 nucleotides) under Caenorhabditis elegans. Its description in RNAcentral is "Unclassified non-coding RNA C52E12.8". Lineage: Eukaryota; Metazoa; Nematoda; Chromadorea; Rhabditida; Rhabditidae. The record is from RNAcentral.